AGAUGGAGGCAUUUAUACUUCAAUCUUCUAGAUGAUUUGUGGGACAAAAUUAUGGUGUGGUAUUACCUAAAUGUUCUUAGAGUUGUGAGAGGUCAUGGUUUCUAGAGUUCUAUCCAAAAGAAAUAUAUGUGUGGAAAAUGUGUUAUGGGUGUCUACAUAAGUUGGUCAGAGUUUAGCUCUAUGUUUGUUGUGAGAGUCUUUUUAAAUGGUCCUGCAAGUGCUUUGUAAUCUUGAAUUGUGUUUAAUAAAAAUUG
RNAcentral lists this unclassified non-coding RNA (254 nucleotides) under Hevea brasiliensis (rubber tree). Lineage: Eukaryota; Viridiplantae; Streptophyta; Magnoliopsida; Malpighiales; Euphorbiaceae. The record is from RNAcentral.